GGGACAACAGUUGGAAACGACUGCUAAUACCGCAUAAGCGCACAGCUUCGCAUGAAGCAGUGUGAAAAACUCCGGUGGUACAAGAUGGACCCGCGUCUGAUUAGCUGGUUGGUGAGGUAACGGCCCACCAAGGCGACGAUCAGUAGCCGGCCUGAGAGGGUGAACGGCCACAUUGGGACUGAGGCACGGCCCAAACUCCUACGGGAGGCAGCAGUGGGGAAUAUUGCACAAUGGGGGAAACCCUGAUGCAGCAACGCCGCGUGAGUGAAGAAGUAUUUCGGUAUGUAAAGCUCUAUCAGCAGGAAAGAAAAUGACGGUACCUGACUAAGAAGCCCCGGCUAACUACGUGCCAGCAGCCGCGGUAAUACGUAGGGGGCAAGCGUUAUCCGGAUUUACUGGGUGUAAAGGGAGCGUAGACGGUUUUGCAAGUCUGAAGUGAAAGCCCGGGGCUUAACCCCGGGACUGCUUUGGAAACUGUAGGACUAGAGUGCAGGAGAGGUAAGUGGAAUUCCUAGUGUAGCGGUGAAAUGCGUAGAUAUUAGGAGGAACACCAGUGGCGAAGGCGGCUUACUGGACUGUAACUGACGUUGAGGCUCGAAAGCGUGGGGAGCAAACAGGAUUAGAUACCCUGGUAGUCCACGCCGUAA
Molecule: ribosomal RNA, 647 nt
Filed under: uncultured bacterium
Lineage: Bacteria
Description: bacterial SSU rRNA
Rfam family: Bacterial small subunit ribosomal RNA
Source: RNAcentral